UACGGAGGAUGCGAGCGUUAUCCGGAUUUAUUGGGUUUAAAGGGUGCGUAGGCGGGCUUUUAAGUCAGCGGUAAAAAUUCGGGGUUCAACCCCGUCCGGCCGUUGAAACUGGGGGUCUUGAGUGGGCGAGAAGAAGGCGGAAUGCGUGGUGUAGCGGUGAAAUGCAUAGAUAUCACGCAGAACCCCGAUUGCGAAGGCAGCCUUCCGGCGCCCUACUGACGCUGAGGCACGAAAGUGCGGGGAUCGAACAGG
RNAcentral lists this ribosomal RNA (252 nucleotides) under uncultured bacterium. RNAcentral describes it as "partial 16S ribosomal RNA". It matches the Rfam family "Bacterial small subunit ribosomal RNA", at positions 524 to 776 of the family's 1533-position model. The record is from RNAcentral.